UCAGUCUUGUCUUCAGGAGUUCGGGCAGGGGUAUGGAGAGUGUUUACAACAGGGAGAAAUUACAUGAACAUUAUUGCCUUAGAGAACACAUAAAUUAAAAAUAAUUUUGGUAAAAUACCUUGCAACACAAAAUUUUUUGCUUGCAUUAUUUCAAUUUUCAUUUCUAUUGUCACGAGCACCUAGUUGGCCAGGUACAUUAUGAGAACUGCUGAAAGCUGAAAUUGGCUGAAAUUAUGUGAAAACAUUUAGUCAAGAAUGCACUAAGAAUCAUUAGCUAAAGAUUAGAUGUCGCCAACGUCGCCCUUGUUGUUCUUACAUCGUGAAACGAGGAAAAAUGGAGGAAACAAUUGGUUGCUAAUUUAUACUUAUAUUCCUGUGAUUUCAAAUACCGAAUUUAACUUCAUAUCAAAUAUGCAUACUGUCAGUCUGUCAGUCAUUCCAAGUUGCGCU
Molecule: long non-coding RNA, 450 nt
Organism: Daphnia pulicaria
Lineage: Eukaryota; Metazoa; Arthropoda; Branchiopoda; Diplostraca; Daphniidae
Exons: 3
Source: RefSeq, a predicted model, not a curated record